GUGGAUAUGGCUCAGUAGUAGAGCACUUGCCUAGCAUGCAUGAGGCCCUGGGAAUAAUUCCCAGCACU
Molecule: transfer RNA, 68 nt
Filed under: Ictidomys tridecemlineatus (thirteen-lined ground squirrel)
Lineage: Eukaryota; Metazoa; Chordata; Mammalia; Rodentia; Sciuridae
Description: Spermophilus tridecemlineatus (thirteen-lined ground squirrel) tRNA
Rfam family: tRNA
About the family: Transfer RNA (tRNA) molecules are approximately 80 nucleotides in length. Their secondary structure includes four short double-helical elements and three loops (D, anti-codon, and T loops).
Source: Rfam by way of RNAcentral